UGGAAUCGUAGGAAUUUAGUGGGAAAUAAUUUUCUGUUUGGGUUUUGGGAUUUAAAUGUAAUAUGUUGUGUACAUUUUUAUUUUAUUUAUUAGAUCCAUAUUGAAAAAAAUUAUCAGUAUCACUCAUGGAAAAAGGAACUGAUUACAAGAGAUGUUACUGAAAGAGAACAUUUAAAGUAUUUUCUAAACUAUUUCAGUAAAUGUAAGUGCCUGCAUGCAUAUGAAGGAAUAUUAUUUUUCUUGCUGAUGAUGGACAAAAUUGAUGAUGCUGAUAGACGGCAGCGACUGCUUCAGCUGGAAAGCCGCCUUAUUGAAGUCAAAUCAGAAAUUAAUGUUGAUGGAUUGUUGG
Stegodyphus dumicola is the source of this 349-nucleotide long non-coding RNA. The record is from RefSeq and is a predicted model, not a curated record. Lineage: Eukaryota; Metazoa; Arthropoda; Arachnida; Araneae; Eresidae.